CCAGCCUGUGAUACCCCAGCCUUGCCGGCAGAGCUGAAGCAGGGUCACCCCACCCCUCUGGUCCUCACGUCCCUAUCUGUUGAGGAUCAAGGGUAAUAAUGGUGGCUACUUCAUGGGAUUCCUUCGGGGCUUACGUGAAUCAGCGUGUACAAAACGCACACACAGUGCCUGCUCACAGUAAGGGCACAGAUGUUAACUGAGAGGUAGGUAACUUGCCUGAGGUCACAUACCUAACAAGUGGCAGGCCUAAGAGCCACUCAUUAUUCAUGUAACUAUUUAAGUCACCUGUCUGAGGCACCGUGGGUGUGCUCAGAAACAAGACAGAUUCGUCCUGGCUCUGUGGCGAUGACAACCAAAUGGGGGACACAGGUGACAACAAACAAAUGUAGGCCAGGCUGGUGGUAUCCGUGCAAAGGGAAAGGGGGGUGGCGGGCUGGCACCGAGGGCGGGGUCCUCAGCCCGCAGCCCCUUUCCCCAAGUGAGGCUGCACCUGUUUGCCCGCUGCGGGGGAGGGCGGGCGCUCACCCGGGAGGCGGGCACAGCUCCCUGGAUGCUCCUCCUUCCCCACCCUCCACGGUCCACUUGAUUCUGUGCCUUGGAGCCCUCACCACAGCUCCCCGAUGCAGGCGUGGAGCCUGCUGCUGAGGAGGGCAGCACAUCUAGAAGCCUUUGAAAGGCUCUUGGGAAAUUGCAUUGCCCUCUGAAGGUCAGUGUCUGGUUCUUCACCUCAAGGAGAAAUAAAGAGCACCUGGAUACUCAAGUGCUUGUUCCAGAAGGACCUGGGCCCAAGGGACAGGAUCUUCAUGUCAAGGAGAACCACUCUUGAUGAGGUACAUGCAGAGAUGACAUCCAGAUUCAGACCUGACAUGGAUGACAAGACCCUUGGCCUCACGUUGAUGCCUUAAUGAGGUGGAUUUGGGGAAGGAGGUGACUGCAUUUUGUACAUGGUUGCUAGAAGUCAGACCAUGGUAUACAGUCUCCAAAGAUGGCCAUGGCCACUGUUAACUUCAUGCUACUGCUCCUCACAUGAAAAGAUGGGGCCUAAUUCUCUUCUCUUUGGAUCUGGGCCAGCAUAAUGACUUACUUGAUCAACGGAAUGCAGCAGAAAUGACGCUCUUGGAUUUCUGAGAUAAAUCUUAAAAAGCCUCAUAGCCCCCUUUGGGGCCUCUUGGGCUGCUCACUUUGGGUACACUUCCUCUCAGAACCUAGAUGCCAUGUUCUGAGAAGCCCAAGCUACAUAGAGAGGUCACAGGUAGGCAUUCCAGCUGACUCCCAGCUAACAACUGGUGCCAAAUGCCAGGGUAAUUGAGUGAGCUACCUUGGAAACUGAAUUAAUUUGAACUUUCUGAUGGCUCCAGCCCCAACAUCUGUCUUCAACUGCAUGAGAGGUCCCAGAUGAGAACCCCAUUGACUGAUUACAGUCUACUUAUAGAAACU
Molecule: long non-coding RNA, 1437 nt
Organism: Neofelis nebulosa (Clouded leopard)
Lineage: Eukaryota; Metazoa; Chordata; Mammalia; Carnivora; Felidae
Exons: 3
Source: RefSeq, a predicted model, not a curated record